AUGCUGCAUAGUGCCUUGGAGGAGGAGGAAGAGGAGGAAGCCACCGCGCUGGAGAUGUUGGACCGGCUCAUCCUCAACGGCUACGAAGCGUCCCCGAGCGAGAUGCAGGAGGUAGUACGUGUCACCUGGGAGGACAAGGAGGACAAGGCAGCACGGCAGAGCAUCUCCAGGCGUGGGAGGUGCGCGGCGAGGCAUACGAUGGUGACUGACCUAGAGACUCUGCUGACCCGCUGUGCAGAAGCAGUGGCCAGCAGCGACGUGUGUGGCGCGAGCAAGCUGCUGGAGCGGAUCAAGUGUCACUCAUCGCCGAGAGGGGACGCUAGGCAGCGGCUGGCGCACUACUUCGCCCAGGGGCUGGAGGCACGGCUGGCUGGCACGGGGAGCCGACUGUACCGAUCGCUCAUGGGGAAGCGCACCUCAGCCGUGGAGCUCAUCAGGGCCUACCAUCUGCACACGGCCGCGAGCUGUUCGAUCAAGGUGGGGUUGCUCUUUUCCACCAACACCAUCUACAAGGCCGUUGCAGGGAGGAGGAAACUGCACAUUGUGCACUACGGCAUCAGCACCGGGUUUCAGUGGCCGGACUUGCUCCGGUUACUGGCGAAUAGGGAGGGCGGGCCACCAGAAGUGAGGAUCACCGGCAUCAACACCCCUCAGCCCGGGCCCUGUCCGGCUGCACUAAUGGAGGAGGCAGGGCACCGGCUCAACAAUUACGCAAGUCAGUUUGGCGUGCCAUUCAAGUUCCGCGCCAUCGCAUCCAAGCUGGAGGAUGUCCGGGCUGAGGACCUGCACAUCGAUCCAGAUGAGGUCCUGGCCGUGAGCAGCCUAUACGAGUUCAGGACCUUGAUGGACGAGAGCCUCACCUCUGACAUGCUAAGCCCAAGGGACAUGGUACUCAACACUAUCAGGAAGAUGAGGCCGUCUGUGUUCGUCAGUUCCGUUGUCAAUGGACCUUACAGUGCGGCGUUCUUUAUGACGCGGUUCCGCCAUGCGCUCUACUACUUCUCGGCGUUGUUCGAUAUGAUGGAGACCACCGUUCCAUGGGACAGCGACAAGAGACUUCUGGUGGAGCAGGAGAUACUUGCACGGUCCGCCAUAAACAGGAUCGCAUGUGAAGGCGCAGACCGGGUGGAGCGCCCUCAGAACUACAAGGAGUGGCAGACGCGGAACCAGCGAGCGGGGCUAAGGCAGUUGCCAUUGGACCCUGAUAUUGUUAUGAUGCUCAAGGACGAAGUGAAGAAUCGGUACCACAAGCAUUUCAUGAUCUGCGAGGAUCACCGGUGGCUUCUACAAGGAUGGAAAGGCCGGGUGCUCUAUGCCCACUCCACAUGGGCAGCUGGUGAUGCUACUGGUUCUCUAGUGUGA
This 1362-nucleotide ribosomal RNA is filed under the name Triticum aestivum (bread wheat). RNAcentral's name for it is "partial small subunit ribosomal RNA". The record is from RNAcentral. Lineage: Eukaryota; Viridiplantae; Streptophyta; Magnoliopsida; Poales; Poaceae.